GAUGAACGCUGGCGGCGUGCCUAAUACAUGCAAGUCGAGCGAACGGACGAGAAGCUUGCUUCUCUGAUGUUAGCGGCGGACGGGUGAGUAACACGUGGAUAACCUACCUAUAAGACUGGGAUAACUUCGGGAAACCGGAGCUAAUACCGGAUAAUAUUUUGAACCGCAUAGUUCAAAAGUGAAAGACGGUCUUGCUGUCACUUAUAGAUGGAUCCGCGCUGCAUUAGCUAGUUGGUAAGGUAACGGCUUACCAAGGCAAUGAUGCAUAGCCGACCUGAGAGGGUGAUCGGCCACACUGGAACUGAGACACGGUCCAGACUCCUACGGGAGGCAGCAGUAGGGAAUCUUCCGCAAUGGGCGAAAGCCUGACGGAGCAACGCCGCGUGAGUGAUGAAGGUCUUCGGAUCGUAAAACUCUGUUAUUAGGGAAGAACAUAUGUGUAAGUAACUGUGCACAUCUUGACGGUACCUAAUCAGAAAGCCACGGCUAACUACGUG
This 497-nucleotide ribosomal RNA is filed under the name uncultured bacterium. RNAcentral describes it as "partial 16S ribosomal RNA". It matches the Rfam family "Bacterial small subunit ribosomal RNA", at positions 28 to 507 of the family's 1533-position model. The record is from RNAcentral.